GACGAACGCUGGCGGCGUGCUUAACACAUGCAAGUCGAGCGGUAAGGCCCUUCGGGGUACACGAGCGGCGAACGGGUGAGUAACACGUGGGUAACCUGCCCUGUACUCUGGGAUAAGCCUUGGAAACGAGGUCUAAUACCGGAUACGACCUGGAAUCGCAUGAUUCUAGGUGGAAAGUUCCGGCGGUACAGGAUGGACCC
This 200-nucleotide ribosomal RNA is filed under the name uncultured bacterium. RNAcentral describes it as "partial 16S ribosomal RNA". It matches the Rfam family "Bacterial small subunit ribosomal RNA", at positions 28 to 232 of the family's 1533-position model. The record is from RNAcentral.